This is a long non-coding RNA of Mangifera indica (mango), 918 nucleotides long. RefSeq lists it as uncharacterized. The record is from RefSeq and is a predicted model, not a curated record. The transcript has 2 exons. Lineage: Eukaryota; Viridiplantae; Streptophyta; Magnoliopsida; Sapindales; Anacardiaceae.
GUUUUCCAUUUUUGAACUUUGAUUUUGUUAAUUUUUAGCUUAAAUUUGUUGAAUUGGGGGUUUUAUUAGGGUUUGUGAAUUGGGGGUUUUAUUAUACUUGCUUAUUUGUGUUGUAGGCUUGUUAUUGUGGAUUUCGUUUUAUUGCUUGUGAUGAUUUUGAAAUUGGUUUGUUUCAAUUAUUCUAAUUAAACAUUGAACUCUAUUUUGAAAUUGGUUUGCUUAUUUUGGAGAAGAACCGUAUUUUGUUUUUGUUGUUUUAGUGUAGAACCAAUUUCCAGAAGAUUAUCUAUUGAAUAUUUAUUGCUGUUGGUUUGCUUAUUUUGGAGAAGAACCGAAUAUUUAUUGCUUAUAUUUGUUGUUUUUGUUGUUUGAAAUUGGCUGGGCUUAAAUCUGUGGAGGGAGUUGCAAAAGAGCCUUCGAAUUCAAGUUCAGAUACAAAGAAAAGUGAAAAGAAUUUGACACCGGAAGGAAACCAAGAUUCAAAGAAUCAGAAGCCAAAAACAAAGUCGAGAAGGAAAUCAUCGAAUGGCAGCCUUGGCUCACCCGUAUGUUCCCCAAAGAUGGGAAUUGAAUCUGAAUUUGAUUGCCCCAGAGGAAACCAGAAGUCAAAUCUUAGUAUUGAGUCAUCAUCUCAGGAUUCCGCUGGCAAUCCGAAACAAUCUGGUUGAAAAAAGACAAAGCAGCAUGCUGGAAGUGAGGCAAGACAGAAGAUGAAGAACAAACAAAAACAGCAAAUAGAUUAAAGUUUGGAAGGAAAUGAAGAAGAGAAAGAAUGAGAUAGAAGUUCAGGAGGAAUAUAAAAAUUUGUAAAUUAUAAGUUUUAACAUAAAUACAUAAUUAUCUGAAUGACAAAAGUGUAAUUGUGUCUAACUUAAUUGACCUUCGCUUGCCAUUCUGGUUAGCCAUUGCUUAGACCAA